GAUAAACGCUGGCGGCGUGCUUUAUGCAUGCAAGUCGAACGGUCUCGAUUUAUCGGGACAGUGGCAAACGGGUGAGUAACACGUAAGUAACCUGCCCCCAAGUAGGGAAUAACCCCGAGAAAUCGGAGCUAAUACUCUAUGUGAUGGGAGAGGUAAUGCACUCUCAUUAAAGCCUUCGGGCGCUUGAGGAGGGGCUUGCGGCCGAUUAGCUAGUUGGUAGGGUAAUGGUCUACCAAGGCAACGAUCGGUAGCUGGUUUGAGAGGAUGACCAGCCACACUGGGACUGAGACACGGCCCAGACUCCUACGGGUGGCUG
RNAcentral lists this ribosomal RNA (316 nucleotides) under uncultured Chloroflexota bacterium. Its description in RNAcentral is "bacterial SSU rRNA". It matches the Rfam family "Bacterial small subunit ribosomal RNA", at positions 28 to 351 of the family's 1533-position model. The record is from RNAcentral. Lineage: Bacteria; Bacillati; Chloroflexota.